Molecule: ribosomal RNA, 465 nt
Filed under: Vreelandella stevensii
Lineage: Bacteria; Pseudomonadati; Pseudomonadota; Gammaproteobacteria; Oceanospirillales; Halomonadaceae
Description: partial 16S ribosomal RNA
Rfam family: Bacterial small subunit ribosomal RNA
Source: RNAcentral
CCUACGGGGUGCAGCAGUGGGGAGUAUUGGACAAUGGGCGAAAGCCUGAUCCAGCCAUGCCGCGUGUGUGAAGAAGGCCUUCGGGUUGUAAAGCACUUUCAGUGGGGAAGAAAGCCUUGGGGCUAAUACCCUCGAGGAAGGACAUCACCCACAGAAGAAGCACCGGCUAACUCCGUGCCAGCAGCCGCGGUAAUACGGAGGGUGCGAGCGUUAAUCGGAAUUACUGGGCGUAAAGCGCGCGUAGGCGGUCUGAUAAGCCGGUUGUGAAAGCCCCGGGCUCAACCUGGGAACGGCAUCCGGAACUGUCAGGCUAGAGUGCAGGAGAGGAAGGUAGAAUUCCCGGUGUAGCGGUGAAAUGCGUAGAGAUCGGGAGGAAUACCAGUGGCGAAGGCGGCCUUCUGGACUGACACUGACGCUGAGGUGCGAAAGCGUGGGUAGCAAACAGGAUUAGAUACCCCUGUAGUC